This 229-nucleotide unclassified non-coding RNA is filed under the name Hevea brasiliensis (rubber tree). The record is from RNAcentral. Lineage: Eukaryota; Viridiplantae; Streptophyta; Magnoliopsida; Malpighiales; Euphorbiaceae.
GGUAUUUCUCCAGAAAAAUUGUUAUUAGAAAGAUCUAGACGAACCAUUAAAUGAAGCGUGAAAAAGGAAGAAGGAACAGAACCAACAAAUUCGUUAUCCUGAAGGUAAAGAUUACGAAGCUCAACAAGUUUAGAAAUAUCAGAAGGAAGAGAACCCGAAAGCCGGUUAAAACGUAGACUAAUCGUCUUAACCUUAGUAAGAUUCGAAAUGGUAUUCACCGGAAUCUCAC